This is a long non-coding RNA of Acanthochromis polyacanthus (spiny chromis), 13132 nucleotides long. RefSeq lists it as uncharacterized. The record is from RefSeq and is a predicted model, not a curated record. Lineage: Eukaryota; Metazoa; Chordata; Actinopteri; Pomacentridae. The transcript has 2 exons.
UAAUGUUCAUGUUUGUCACUCUUACUGUGGUGUGACAGUAUGAGCAGCAGCAGAUCUUCAUUCACAGUGUUUCUGUUUUGCAGUUUGCAGCUCGUAAACCGCCUCAGUGUGAUGAUGCAGGCAGGGCGCGACAUCUCCUCUAAAAUGACACUCAGCCUGUUUAAAUGCUCUUUAUUGUCAGGCGUUAAAUCCACCUCCCAACUUUACUGUGGAACAGAAAUUAUAGAAAUCUACUGCCUCUUGUUUGUUAAAAUUUCAUUCCCCUCUCUCCAACCCCUCACUGUUCGCCUGAAUGGGAAAAUCAAACAUCAUAAAAAUUCCCUGUCAGGGAAUCUUCUUUAUGUUGGGUAAUUACACCCAGUGUGUAGAGCCGCUCUGCAAUCUGACCCGCAGACCUGAACGUGACUGGAGGUCGACCCUCCAGUGCUCGCAACUACAAAAACCUCCAAACUGCCCCUGAGAUGUACAUGAAGAACACACAAAGCCUUCGUAUAGCGGCUGUAAACUGCAGAUUAACCACAAUGCAAUCAGUGAUGUCGGUGUGUGAAGGAAUGUGUGGGCUGCGUAGCCAAACAAACACUGCUAGUAGUGUGCAUGCCAUAACUUUAGCUCUAAUAAUUAAAACUGCAAUUAUUUGGAUCAUUUAAUGUGUGAAAGGUUAAAAAGGUAACCGAAAUUUUUUUUUCUCCUUUAAAAAAUGUUUCUCUUGUUUCAUUUAGCAGUUAGAUAUUGUUAUAUUUUUAUUCCGUGUUUAAAAAUUAAAUUGCAUUAUAUGAAUCAACUUCUGCAAACAAGACAACUGAUUAUGAUGAAAUUAACUGAAUUAGCUAUGAUUCUUUGCUGGUUUAUUUGCUGCUGUUGCAGACCUUGAAGGUUUAUAUUAUGAAUACAAAGCAGAGUUUUGUUUGUUUGUGGUUCAGCUCACCAGAGGCCAGCACUAGAGGGCAAAUUCAACAUACCCAGCGUGUCUUUUGGUUGCCUGGCCUCACUAAACUCUACAACCAGUGUUUUGCUAAGUGGUCACAUGAAGCUAGUUUUCAACUCAGGGAUUCCUGAACUUGGCUGUGGGCGCUUUCACAUAAAGAGAUGGCAACAGAUGACCAGCCACAAACAUGGACAGGUCUACUGGCACCAGAGUGAGAAAUUUUACAAACCACAAGUAAAUUAUAAUAUUACAGAAAUAUGAAGAUUUUAAGCACACAAUACAGACUAAAAGUUAUGCAGCUAUGGCAGCCAAAACCGCAGAGAAAACUGUUAAAAAAAAUCCUCUCUGGUUUUAUGUGGGUUAACAGGCUUAUAAAUAUUACAAUAUUGUGUAUUCUAUUAAAUGAUGAUUUUUUUGCCUAGAUGUAUUCUGAAACAGUUAUAGCCUUAAUCUUUCAGCUGACCCUUUGGCAAUGUUAAACAGUUUUGGGAGCAAGUAAAAAAUUAAUAUUCAACUCAUUAUUCAAAGCCUUAAGUAGGCUAACUCUAUCGUAAAGAAGGCUACAAAUAAAUAUGUCCAACUAACUAUAAUCCUAAAUUAAUAUGAGGAGUUUAAAAUCUAAUAUAGGCUAAAAACAGAACAACUGCUGCAGCCAAAGUCAGGAAGUGAAAGUCUGAGUGAAUGUGUAAAUAAUACGCCUAUCAUGCAAUAUCACUGUCCCUUUGUGGAGAAGUUGUUCUGAGAAAGAUUUGGGAUUAUAACACCAGACAACGACACUUAGAACAGUGAAAUAGCUUUUAAAUUGCUUGCAGCUCUGAAACCCUUUCCACUGACUACAUGUACGUUGAGCUUCCUGGGAUCUUCCAGGAACAAUGAUGCUGUUUUCCAAGAGAAAUGAUUGGUGAGUAGAAGAUGGAUAGGAGGAACUACACUAUGAUGCAGCUAGACAGGUGCAGUUCACUCAGACAGGUGUGAUUCCAAAAGUUGGAAAAUACUGAAAACAAUAUGUUAGAUUUACUUAAAUUGUAACUAAGUGAUUUUAUCUGCAUGGACCAUUAUCUUGGGCAAAGUUUUCUAUGAGAGGAAAGCAUUUUAAAUGUCAAUACUGCAGUCGAAACCAAAAUAAGGAUCGUGAUUGACAUUUGUUUAAUUUUGCAGCUGUGUACUGUCUUAGCUGUUGUAAUUGAAUGUCGUACAUUUUCCUCUUCACUGGCUCAGUCAGUACAUCACUGCAAACUGUACCCUCAUCUUCAAGAGUAUCUGAGUCAGUACUUCUCCAUCUCCACCAGCCUCUUUCUCUCUCCCCUCAUUGUUUUUUCAAAUAAUCACCCACAGAUUGCUUCGUCUUUAGAGAAUGCAUAAGCUAAAUGGACUGUUCUUGUGUCAGGUAGUGACAGACUGAAUCUGCAAAGGAGGGCCACUUUCCACCUCUAUGGCUAACAUAGCAGCUUCCCAUGCCAACUGAAGGGACCCCAAAACAGCCUGUUGAUGACCAAGCGCUUGCAUAAAUGGGACCACGUAUAAUUUUAACUCGCACGCUCUCAAAAACGUCUUCCUAUAUGCAAAUCCAGGAGCACAGAAAACGAAGCACUUUGACCUUUUUCCAGUUUUGAGCUCCUGCAGCAGCAGUUCUCAUCCAGGGAGAAAGGCCAGCUGAACACCUUAAGGGCAUUAUCAUAUUUACAGCCUCCCUCUGGGAAGGAAUAUCGAAUUCAGCUCUCCUUGGGUUUAUAGGUGAUAAAAGACCCGUGCUGUCCUGCAGGUUUAUGAUUCCCGCUGCUGGGCUUCAGGAUUCUGUGUUUUCUAUGCAAGUGUGUGUUUUAUCUCUUUAAGCACACUGUGGCUUCGGGCAGAUCAGCUGCUGAUCACUAGUGGAGUUCGCCUCAGGAUAAAAGACCUUUCCCUCUCUGGGCUUUAUGUGAACACACAGCUCCACUAAUGAGGCAGUGGAAAACAUUAGUGUUUGUCCGUCUAACCUUCAGUGUCUGCUGCUGUUCUGUACCCACAAAUGAUUGUUGUCCACUGCCUGAAAAGACAAUAUAUAUAUUCUGGGAAUUGAAUUCCUGAAUGGACAUAGUACCAGUUUACCUCUGUGUUUGUAUUUAGCUCAAAGUGUCUCAGCUAAGGAAUGUUUUCAGUGUGUUUAUAGUGAAUCUUUUCGAAACAGUCAGUCCAAUUCAAGAUACAGGAGUUUCUGGAGGUUCCUGUGACAUGUUCUGCAGCCACGGAAAGAAAGAAAUUCAUGAAGACUGAGAAAGAGUUUCCUGACAUUUUUACUGCAAAAACGAAUCGGGGCGGGGGGGGACCUGCCAAAGAGCCAAGAAAAAUUACAGCUGUUACAGAUAUUGAGCUCAAAAAUGCUAAAUGAAAAGCGAAAGUGAUUUUGAGCUUCAAAAGACAGGACAGAGUGCAGCUGCUUUCCACCUAAAUGUAUUGCGCGUUUACCAGAUUUCCAGAAAAUCUGCAAAAUACAGUGUUGAUUAAAACCAAUAGAACAGCAGGUAGUGCUUCCGCUGAGAAGAAUACAUAGGCGAACCUGUAAUGGUGAAAUCUAUGCGUCAUUCCGUGAAGAUCUGCUGUUUUCAUUCAUCUCCUCAGUAGUAUGAAGCUUCUGCAGAUUUGAAGUCACAUUCUUCAUGUUGGCUCCAAGGACAUUUUAGUAAUUGUUUACUGAUUUACAUUGGUUACUUAUUGUACAGUUUAUUGGCUCAGCUACUUGUUGCCAUAGUUAUUUUAAUGGGAAGCACUCUUUGCCACAGUAAUGUCGCUGUUGCAAACAUCCCUCAGCCUGAAUCAGGCUUUUACAGUUAAAUCUAAAUGUCUCAACAGCUGGAUCCUGCUGCUGUUUGAUGUUGCAGGAAUUUAAUAGAGUUAGAGAAAAAACGACUACAAAUAACUGUAAGCAACAAACUAAACUUUAGCUCCUGUUAGUCAAAACAUGAUUACUUUCAUUAUUAGUGAGUCUCAUUAUUACUCCGCUAAGGGAUGAGGUGGAGUUAUGUAACGAUCAGCGUUGGUUUGUCUGUCUGUUAGCAGCAUUACUCAAACAUGAAAUAACAGAUUUGGAUGAAAUUGUCAAGGACGGUCAGAAAUGACACAAGGACAUUUUGGCAGUGAUGCGUCUUCUAGUCUGGAUCCCUGGAUUUAUUAAAGAUUUAUGUACCAUUGCGAGAUAGCAGCACAGCGCCACUGUAUCCAUGACUACAAGUGAACACUAUGUGAGCUGCCUGCUGAUGAUCACAUGAUUGUGAUCCUACUACAAAUCGACUGCUGUCAACCACAAAUUUUUUAAAGAUUUCAUCCGUCAGAAAUCAUACAACGACUGAGCAGCCUUGGCAGAGCAAUGUGCUCUCUGAGUGCUUUUCUUGCUCUGACCUGUUACAAGCUGCAUUUUUACAAACCCAGUAUCUUAUAUUUCACUUUGUGUUAUGAAAUUGUAGGGCAAAGAGCGAGACUUUGUCUUGCAUGCAUAGCAUUUACACCAUCUUGACCUGCAAGAAGGCAGGAGGGUAUCAGAGUGGCAGAAGAGAUUUCAGGUGUGGUUGUGACCUUCCCUUGGUGGCAACUGUCGUUUUUUCCGAAAACCGAAAACGUUUGCAGUGUAUCAGGAGUUUUGGGGAACUUUUCUUGCUUCCAAUCAGGUGGAUGGGAGCACAUCUUAUGAUUGAUUGCAAGAUAUUCAGAUCUGGGUUGUACAUAUUAGUAUAUUUAGUGUAUCAGUUAAACAAAUGGAAAGACUUUAGUGAUAAAGAAAUAGUGAUGGACUAAUAGUAUUGCAGAGAAGUGUUUUCUAUCAGAAAAUGUUUCUCUGAAAAGUUCACUUUCUGAACCCCAAAAUCAGUUUUCAGGUUUCAAAGGCGCAUUUACUCGACAAAAUGACACUAUUUAUCAGCCCAAAACUGUAAAACAAAGAUAGACUGAACAAUCAGAUUUUCAAUUUUAAUGCAGCAUAGCUCAAAAUCAAUACACAGGAGCAAGUUUUGAAAGAUACGUUCAGCAAAGUGAAACAUGUUUCUACAGCUGAUGACCAGAGUCGUAUGAAAAGGUUUGUAGAGGUGGUAAAAAUGUAAAUGGUUAAAUAUCUGUUACAGUGGUGGAAAAAAGUUUUCAGACACCCUUAAAAUUUUAUGUAUUUUAAAUCUCAAAUAUUAUGAGACAUAUUUGUGGAAAAAUCCUUUUUUGUAUUUCAAAGGUGUGUCUGCAUUAGACACAAACAAAUACAAAGAAUAUUUCUUUUGUUUAUUGUUUCCAAGAAAAACUAACAAAACUGAAUUCUACCAAAAUGACUCAAUACUAAAAAUUCAUAUUUUUUUGGAACCAGUCAAUUUCAAGGCUAAUUUUAAGAUGAUAUCUGAAAAAAAAUUCUACCACUAUGGUUAUUCUUAUCACUUGUCAACAUUUUGAAAAGUUUUUUUAUUAUUAUUUUUUUUUUACAAUAUAGAUAAUCAAAGAAAUGAAACUUUGUAUGGUUUGUGGAAUUAUAACUGCCAUAAGACAUGUCUAUGCUUCUAGUCAUGAUUGUUCUGUUUCCAUAGAGAUGUUACUUCACAUUGCUGUGAGUCCACAGUAAGCAAAAAGAAAAUGCCCAGAAACUGUUUGGGUCAGAGGGUUCAACAAGUUAAAACUGUUAGUUUUGUAAUCAGGGUUGCCUGAUGUUCAGGCCGUUGCAGAUUUAGUAGAAUCAGCUCCUGAUACAAAUUAAACGUGUUGAUUUAGACGUGUGCAUCCACGUAAAAGAGACCUCACAGAUGGAUGCAGAUGAGUUGAAAAUGUGUUUUUUCAUAACUGUAAUUUGUUGGACAUCAGUGAAUGCCGUCAUUCUCUGGGGGAACACAGUUCAGGAGGGGAUUUCUAAAGGAGGUCUAGGACAUGAUCUGUGGAGCCAAAGUCAAUCACUGGCCUCAAAGAAACAAUUAUGCAACUCUCUUCUAUUUUGCCGUCUGUUGUUUCUGUGUGUCCACACUCACAGUCAGACCAGCGCACAGCUCCAAAGCAUCCAAAACUUCACAAUACCACUGCUCUUGUGCCCGUAUCUCCCAUGCGCCAGCUUCUUUUUGGAUGUGGCCGUUUAGAAAAUACUCCAAAGACAUGUCUCAAUCCCACUCUGUUUCUGUAGCGAUUCUCCGACAGAGGGUGAAUACACGGCGUCCAGGGCUCUCCCAGUGCCAGCCACUGCGAGCUGUGCCACAUGCAGAUGGCCCCAAGUGUUGCCAUCCAUCCCCAGCUGCUGUCUGUGGUGGUGCCCAUUACCGGGGCUUAUCACUGGCCCCGACUGCUGCAACAAGAAUCAGCAGUGAGCUGAUGAGCAGCUGUGGCUGGGUGUUUGAUCGCUGCCCCCCCUCUGAGCUGGCUGCAGGAGGCCGGUGUUAACGUGGGGGGUUCAAGGCUGCUGGCAGUCCCACACCAGCUAUUGUUUUCCCCAUUUCCAUCAAGCCUUAAUGUCUUUUUACAAGGACAGAGGAGCAGAAAGCUAACGGAGCCAGAGUAGAAAUAAAUGAAGGCCACAUGAACAGAAGCAGAAGGAAAGAGGAGGCAUUGCUCAACAUUCUGGGACGUAGCUUAUGUGCUUAUUCUUUUUUUGAGAAAAAUGAAAAGAUUGUUUGUGCUUCUGUAAGUAAAACAAAUUCAUUUUUCCUAAUACAUGCCUCAAAGUUAAAGCAGUUUGGCUGGGAUGCACAUGAAACUCCUUUGAUUUCAUCAUGAGCACAGCUUCAUAGAAAACCGUGUAGAAAAUGUAAAAGUUACAAAACAAGAUUGUGAACACAAAAACACGAGGGGAGAAGAUAAAUAGCUGUAAGUGAAAGCUAAACAAGCAUCUGCAGUUUAAACAUGUUCCCAUUUAGAUUUGGGGGGCUGAUGAAAUUUUGCAUCUUUAUUGCUGCAUUUUGACCACAAAUUAGCCAACUAAUGCUGUGUUCAAACCACAGACUUUAUAUAGAGAUGUUUGAACCCUCCGUGACGUCACCCUUAGGUGUCCUGAACAUUGGUUUUUGAAGCUCAGAGUGGCAGCUCUGACCAUCUUCAUCCUGGCUAACUCUCAGUUAAUCCAAAAUAUAAUCAAAAGGUGAACAGUUACAGGUUGUAGAUACAAGAGUUAGAUGUAAAAGUUAAAAUUCCAGGAGCCAAGAAGCUCAUUAAUUCACACUUUGUUUAACCCUCUGAACUCCAAAAUCCUCUAAUGGGUUUGAAGGAAUGUUGUCUCUUAUUUUAAACAUCUUGCUAAAAUGGCACCAUUAAUUUGCCAGACACAAAGAAUAAACUCUGAAUCAUCUGAUUUUCAAUUCUUUGAAGUUGCAUCAGGAAAAGAAGCAAAACCUACAUUUAAUCUUGUGAUAUUUUUUCCAAAUCACAUUGUUCUACAUUUUGCAACCAAAAAUAACAUGUUUGCACCUGAUCCUGUAAAGCAACCAAAAAACAUUGUGAGCUCCUCAGAGCAGCUAAUUCUCCAAGGCUGACUAAACUGUCACCAACAUUCAUAUAAGAAAAAAAUCAGAGUUUUCAGUUGAACUGCAGGCUGUGUUUACAUAGAACAGAAAGGAGAUCAUGAGAGAGAUGGAAAAUAAAACAUUCAGCAUAGUGAAACAUCUUUGUAGGGUUGAGUAGUGUGAAAACAUUUGUAGUGGAUAUAAAAAUGGAAAGAAUUAAAUAACUAUAGUAUGUAGAGCCUCUGCUUUUUUCUCUUUUUUGGAGCCAGUAGGCACAAAACUGUUGGGUAUCAUGAUUGCAGGUCUUUUCGUUUGUUGUAAAUAAAGAUAUUGGACUUCGGCUAGUUUUUCUUUUGUUCUGAUUUGUGCCAUUGUGACUGUCAUACCGCACAGAAGAGCUCUCUGGAUUCUCUCCUUUCAGUUGUUGUUAUGCUGUUUCCAUAGAGGUGCAGGACUUUAUAUAGCCGUUAAAAAUACGCCUAUAGUGAUGAAAAAGGGGAGCAGAAAACACCCAGAAAUUGCUGAAGUUCAGAUAGUUAAUAUGUACAAAAAUAGAAGUGUGCAAACAGCAGCUUGUGGUUUUAGGGUGUUUACCCAGAAAGACUUGAUGGAUAUAACAAAUUACAUACAACAUGUUAAUAAAGGAGGGCUGCAGAGUGGUGUAGUGGUUAGCACUUUUGCCUUGCCGCAAGAAGAUCCCCUUUUGGAUCUUUCUGGGAUCGUUCUGCAUGGAGUUUGCAUGUUCUCCCUGUGCAUGCAUGGCUUUUCUCCGGGCACUCCGGCUUCCUCCCACAGUCCAAAAAUAUGCUGAGGUUAAUUGGUUACUCUAAAUUGCCCGUAGGUGUGAAUGUGAGUGUGAUUGUUUGUCUGUAUAUGUAGCCCUGAGACAGACUGGCGAUCUGUCCAGGGUGUCCCCUGCCUUCGCCCGAGUCAGCUGGGAUAGGCUCCAGCACCCCCCUGCGACCCUAGUGAGGACAAAGCGGUGUAUAGAGAAUGGAUGGAUGGAUGUUAAUAAAGGCUUUUUAGAGUUGUAGUUUUAAGUAUGGCCACAAUCUUGGAACUUUUUUCCAUUGAUGGAAUUGUGUGUUUAACACUUCCUCAGAAGUUCUGUGAACAUCUGAUCUUGAAAUUCUCUUUUUUUUCACUCAUUUUACUUUCUUUUAACAUGUUAAGCGUUUGUGUACUCAGAGGACAGUUUUCCCAUGAAAGGAAACUCAAAGAAAGUUACAGUGAAACACUCCCUCCUCUUUACGCAUGGACUGGUUCUGUAAACUAUCAAACAUUGCUCCCAGCCAUCGCAGAUAAUCACUACAAGACAUGGCACUGCCAGUGUGUUUGCAUUCUGCUUUACAGUGGAUCAGCACAGGGUUUUCAUGAUCUAACUUGGCUCUGAACUAUAUCACAUGAAUAUAAAUUUAGUAAACAGCAGAGGUUACCUUGGUCACACAUAUGGCCUGUGGGCCAAAAUCGGCCUGCCAGAGGGUCCAGUCCGGCCUGCAGGGUGAUUUUGCAAAGUGUAACAAUUACAGAGAAGACAUUAACUGCAAAUUGUAAAUUUGUGAAACUGUAAAUGGUACAUAAUUUGUAGACCUGAAGUCAUUUUCAAUAUAAAGUGAAAUACUAGAUUGUAAGCUGUAAUGUGUAAAUGACAAACUGAGUCAUAGUAUUGCUAAAAUUCAGCCUAUUUUCUUAAGAAAUUUCAGGUUAGUAAUGUUUGGUAGAAAAAUAAUUCAUUUAAUGUGAACAUUUUCAGAAUGUACUUUUUUGCACUAAAAAGGGAAAAAUUGGGAAUUGUGGUUAUUUAUGAGUUAUUUAGUUAGGAUUUUACUGGUCUGGCCCACGAGAUCAAAUUGGGCUGUUUGCGGCCCCUGAACUAAAAUGAGUUUGACACCUCUACCUUAAACCCACUGACAGUUCCAUGAUGGUUGCUUCACAAAUAUGAUGAUUUUGAGUUGUAAUUAUUUAUAGACUUAAACUUUUUCAGAGCUCUCAAAAAUUAUACUUUAAAAUUUUUUUCAAACUUUUUUUAUUAUGAUUGAGUGAACUGAAACUAUAAAUAAUGUUAACAAUGCUGAAUGUAUCGUCUAAUAACUUACUCCUUUGUAUACUGUUUUGAGACAUUUUUUAAACAAAAUUUGCAUCCCAGUAUGUUUUAUUUUCCUCUCAGUCUCUAUCGUGUAGUCUUAUCUCUGCUCUGUAUGAACACAACCUGCAGUUCAACUGAAAAUUCAGAAUUUUUAACCGUUGACUACAGCUCAGUCAUUUAUAGAGAAUUGUUUGUGGUGAGGAGUGCAGAUUAUUUUUUAGUUUUUACAGAAUGCUACACAAACACUUUGAAUUAAAAUUCAAAUGUAAGAUUUUAAUUAAAUCCCGCCAAUUUUACAUUUGGAUAAUUAUUCUGCUGAAACUGUAUCAUAAAAUGCAUUCAAUGACUGUUUCUAUCUGUUUGUUUUUUUGCAGUUUCUUGCAAGCAAAUGGUUAAGAUGGGGUUCAAAUGGUUCUUUUCUCUUUUUGACUUUGGAAAAAUCUGAGGGAUGCUGUUUUGUAGCUUUGUGCAUGUUUAUUUUCUGUCUCACUGUGUUUAUUUCAUCAUAGAUUUAAAGUAAAUUUGGAGUUAAUUCCAAGAGUAACGGCUUCGUAGUUGUGCUGAGGAACUUUUAGUUUUUUACAGGAUCUGGGGCAAACACUUUAAUUUUACUAUCGCACAUGGUACAUUCAGUGGCAAUCUGAAACAUGAAAAUCUGACAAUUCUAUUUUAUUUUAAUGAUUUCAAACCUUUAACAUGGAUGCAGAUUUUGGAGAUGUUGCAGUAUGGAUGUUGUCAGUGUCAUUUUUUCUUUACCGUGGGCACCACAAAGGACAUCAGUUCUGCUGACCUGUGGUGGAUGUUUCUUCCUGCUCAGCUCAGUUUUGAAGCUACAACUUGCUCAUAAUUGGCGUUCGUGCUGCAGCUCUGGUACGUCACCACACCAGCUCUGUGUGGGGCCUCAUGCGUGCCCGCCACCACCUGAGCUUAACCUCACCUCUCAGGGUUGAACUCGCUCUCGUCACGUCCCCCUCCAAUGAGUCUGCGGUGGUCCUUCGUGGCGGCAUAGAACAGCUCCCCUCUUCACUGAAACACGUCUCCUGUUUCCUCUUAACUGGUUCCAGCAGUGCAGCAGUGUUUGUCAUCCAGUUGGUAAUGAUUUAAACAAGCUCGGGGCCUCCCUUCUCCUCUCCGUUCUCACACCGGCCUUUUCUUCUCAUUCCUGUUCGGCUAAUCGUCGUCACAGCCGGGCUGGAUUGGAGGGAGGACGACUAUUUGCAAUCUUGUGUUCUCGUUUUUCUCCAGAAAGCAGUUCAAGACUUAAAGCACAAGAUGCUUGUGAUGGUUGUGGGUGGUCCUCUGAUCACCUUGGAAUCAGAUUUAUUAUAAUAAUACAUUAUGAUUAUAAUGACAUCAAUAUGAAGUGAGUACACCCCCGUGCACUCUCACACCUGUCUGUCGCCAGUAUUUAUAUGUCUUCUACUUCUACUACUUCUACUUUUCUCUGAAAUACCCCAAAGUCAGGUGACAUAUUUGACCAGGUCAUCGUUUCCAGUUUGUUCUUUAUAAACUUUUUGUGCUUUAAAUCAUUAUCAUGCUGGAAUGUUCCUUUUCUGCCAAGCUUCUGUAGAUUGGAUGUCAUCUUGUCCGCCACUAUUUUGGAAUAUCCACAGGCAUUGAUGACCUGUCCUUAUAUCAUCACACUCGCACCUCCAUGCUUCGCUGUCAGGACGAUGUAUUUGUUGUAGUAGCCCUGGUCAGAUUCAUACUAAACAUGCUGGACCCCAUCCAAGUCGAGCAAAUUUAUCUUGACCUCAUCUAACCAAAGACUGCACUCCCAACAUUCAUCAGGGUUCUUUUCAUGUGUAUGUUUUUUUUUUUUUAGAAGGUUUGAAAAUUCUAUGCAAACAGCAAGUAACAGUUUUGUUCUUGAUGCUGUCCAUAGAAGUUGAUAUCAAGAACCGUCUGAUCUGUCGCAGAAACUCUGAUUUCUAUUGAUAAUCCCUGUGUCAAGCCUGAAGCAGCUGCCUGUGUGUCUUUUGUGAAAGUAGUGCACUGCUUGUGGCGUCAUUUUAGGAGGACGACCACUUUGGCUCUGAUUACCCCGUGAUUACUGCUGCAACUGUGUUUGAUUUUUACGUUAGUCGGUAACAAGUCCUUCUGUAUCCUCUUCCAUCUUUUUUCAAAUUUCACAAUCCGAUGUUUCAGUUCCUCGGGCAAUUGGAGGCAUGAUGUAGACAUGCAGAUAGACACAGGUUUUCCCAGCUCAUUUUAUAAUAUAUACAGCACCCUCCAUAAUUAUUGGCACCCCUGGUCAAGAUAUGUUCUUUAGCUUCUAAUAAAUUCAGUUAUUUUCUAAGUGAUAUAGGACCACAAUGGAAAAACAGAGGAAAAUCCAACCUUUAAUUAAACUGCAUUUAUUCAGUGGGGGAAAAAAAAUCACACAUUAAGAAAUAAUUCUUUUACAUCAAAUCAUGUGUGCCACAAUUAUUAGCACCCCUGAUGUUAAUACUUUGUACCACCUCCUUUUGCCAACAAAGAGCACCUAUGCUUCUCUUAUAAUACAUUUUUCAACAAUUUUCAGUGUGAGAGUGUGCUUCUGCAAUAAAAAUUGAAUUUAUUUUAAGGUUUUCAACACAUCUUAACCAGGGGUGCCAAUAAUUAUGGAGGGCUCUGUACGCUCAUGCAGUUAGCCUAGUUGGAAAUCACAGAUGUACACAACAUUACCACAAAGAAACACAACACAACCAUGAACAGAAAAUUGCCACAGGGAGAUGCAAAUUGACCACAAAGAGACAAAACAACCACGAGAUGAAUGAUAUAAUUUUGAGGUCUAUGACAUUUAAAUAUUUAUUGUACAGGGGUGUAUUCAUUCCUGUUUGCUGUAAUUGACUGCCCAGCACAUGGGCACUUGUAAAAGGCAAAUUUUUCAUCUUUCCAUGGCCUAAAGUCCACAAAAGUGUUGAAGGCAGAGUCAAGCCAGGUCUUUCACUCUGUUUCCAGUCUUUGUGCUAAGCUAAUGGCUCAUAGACUUCAGGGGGGUAUCAGCCUUCUCAUCUAACUUUUGGCAGGAAGUUGUAUUUCCCAUCCAGCCAAACUAUUCUUUAAUUUGAGAUCUCUUUUAAUAAAAACAGAGAUUUUGCAGAGAAGUUUACAAGAUGAGGAAGACUUGAGCCUCUGAGGAUAAAGCACUGGUCACCAGUUGGCCUACAUUUGUGUUUUCCUUCUCAGUUUCUCUCCCUUGAUCCCCUCUUGCCCUCCUUUUUUUGCUACCCACUGUGCAUCAUUGAUCCUCCCUUCAUCCGUUCUAUCUCCACUCAUGGUGUCAGCAGGGUUUCUGGAGGGUUUAAAAAAUGUAUUUUUAAGACUGUAGUAUCACAUACAGUUGUGUUUGUUUUGUCAUUCUUCAUGAUAAGAUUUAAACAGUAAAGACUGAAAAUGGUUAAUAAUGACAGGAUUGUGCUGACAUUAAUAUCUCAUUGUUUUGAGAACUUUGCAGCUAUAUGUAGUAAUUAACAUUCCUGGUUGACAUAAUUGAUCAAUAGCAGGACCCAGACCUGUGAUCAGUGGCCUGAGGAGCCAGGUGUUAGGUUUCUUUUUUAAAAAAAGUCAUAGAGCUCUGUUAAGACAGGCACAACUAAUCCCAGUAUUCCAAAAAGCAACGUAAAAUGGCCACAAAAAGACACUAAAUAACCAUAAAGAGACGCACACUGACAAUGAAGCAAUGCAAAACAACAGACAAGAUGCAGCAUGAUU